ACACGUGGAACAUUCCGAAUUCCAAAACUCUUUUCCACUGCUGCUAGCCCAGCAUAAAACUGCUCACCCUGUAACACGGACACUGCUGAGGAAGAACCAGAAAAGCUGCCCUGUUCCUUAACUGGGUUCACAUCAACACUGUGACAGGGAGAACCUGACCUCAUGCUGAGGACCCUGGGAUAAACACCAAUGCCCAGCGCCUCUUACUGGCUGCUGACUUCGCUGGUUGGGAUUUUGAGUAAAGGUAUUCUGAUAUUUGAAAAAUAAUAGCCUUGGAAAGGAAGACAAGACCAACUCAUCAGGAGACAAGUUUAUUUUUGGAAAGGAAAAGUAUAAGAUCGUAACUGCACUUCCAGUCACAUUCCUACCAGGGGAAACACAGAAAAGCGCACCACUCAGCAUCUGAUGGCUCAGUGAACUUAGUCAAAGGAUAUCUACGAACGCACCAUGCAAACCAAGAAACAGAACACCACCAGCAUCCAGAGCCUCCUCUAUCCCACGGUCCCAGACUCUCCUGCAAGUCACAGUCCCGGACUUCCAACUCCUCAGUGUGUUCUGCCUGCUUUGGGAAUGUACACAAGUGGAUACAACACAUACUCUCUCGUGUCUGGUUUUGUGUAUAGCAGACGUCUGUUUGCUUAUGUUGCCCUGUAAGACUGUGUCGCAUAAUUCCAUAUUUAGUUGUCCACUGCACUAGCAACAGGAAUUAGGGCUGUUUUUGGCUGUGACUCUUUUAAAUGCUGAUGAUGUAAAGCCCUUUGCCUGUGUCUUUUGGUAACAACGUGUACCAAGUUCUGCUGGGCUCACGCUCCCAAGCCGACUGGCUGGCCACUAGACUGCAGGAAGUGUCACACAGAUUACCAUGGUGAUAGCAGUAUACAAGGGUUUUACUCCAUCCACUUUCUCACCAGCCCUGGGCUCAGGACUGUCACCUUUCCAGGAUUCCUGGUGGGCUCCACUCACCCACUGCACAUGUGGUCCGGCUUAUCUCAGCAAUUGUCCCUGACACACCUCAAGCGUGACGGGAGAUGGAUCAUUUUUCAUCAAUGAAGGAAGCUCUGUGAAAAGCUGAGGCGAUGGAAAACAGAAGCUCAGGCCCCAAGCUCCUGCAGGUAGG
Long non-coding RNA from Heterocephalus glaber (naked mole-rat), 1117 nucleotides. RefSeq lists it as uncharacterized. NCBI's taxonomy places the organism in Eukaryota, Metazoa, Chordata, Mammalia, Rodentia, Bathyergidae. The record is from RefSeq and is a predicted model, not a curated record.